AGCCCAGAGCCUGAAUCAGUGUGUGUGUUAGUGGAAGCGUCUGGAAAGGCGCGCGAUACAGGGUGACAGCCCCGUACACAAAAAUGCACAUACUGUGAGCUCGAUGAGUAGGGCGGGACACGUGGUAUCCUGUCUGAAUAUGGGGGGACCAUCCUCCAAGGCUAAAUACUCCUGACUGACCGAUAGUGAACCAGUACCGUGAGGGAAAGGCGAAAAGAACCCCGGCGAGGGGAGUGAAAAAGAACCUGAAACCGUGUACGUACAAGCAGUGGGAGCCUCUUAAUGGGGUGACUGCGUACCUUUUGUAUAAUGGGUCAGCGACUUAUAUUCUGUAGCAAGGUUAACCGAAUAGGGGAGCCGAAGGGAAACCGAGUCUUAACUGGGCGUUAAGUUGCAGGGUAUAGACCCGAAACCCGGUGAUCUAGCCAUGGGCAGGUUGAAGGUUGGGUAACACUAACUGGAGGACCGAACCGACUAAUGUUGAAAAAUUAGCGGAUGACUUGUGGCUGGGGGUGAAAGGCCAAUCAAACCGGGAGAUAGCUGGUUCUCCCCGAAAGCUAUUUAGGUAGCGCCUCGUGAAUUCAUCUCCGGGGGUAGAGCACUGUUUCGGCAAGGGGGUCAUCCCGACUUACCAACCCGAUGCAAACUGCGAAUACCGGAGAAUGUUAUCACGGGAGACACACGGCGGGUGCUAACGUCCGUCGUGAAGAGGGAAACAACCCAGACCGCCAGCUAAGGUCCCAAAGUCAUGGUUAAGUGGGAAACGAUGUGGGAAGGCCCAGACAGCCAGGAUGUUGGCUUAGAAGCAGCCAUCAUUUAAAGAAAGCGUAAUAGCUCACUGGUCGAGUCGGCCUGCGCGGAAGAUGUAACGGGGCUAAACCAUGCACCGAAGCUGCGGCAGCGACACUAUGUGUUGUUGGGUAGGGGAGCGUUCUGUAAGCCUGUGAAGGUGUACUGUGAGGUAUGCUGGAGGUAUCAGAAGUGCGAAUGCUGACAUAAGUAACGAUAAAGCGGGUGAAAAGCCCGCUCGCCGGAAGACCAAGGGUUCCUGUCCAACGUUAAUCGGGGCAGGGUGAGUCGACCCCUAAGGCGAGGCCGAAAGGCGUAGUCGAUGGGAAACAGGUUAAUAUUCCUGUACUUGGUGUUACUGCGAAGGGGGGACGGAGAAGGCUAUGUUGGCCGGGCGACGGUUGUCCCGGUUUAAGCGUGUAGGCUGGUUUUCCAGGCAAAUCCGGAAAAUCAAGGCUGAGGCGUGAUGACGAGGCACUACGGUGCUGAAGCAACAAAUGCCCUGCUUCCAGGAAAAGCCUCUAAGCAUCAGGUAACAUCAAAUCGUACCCCAAACCGACACAGGUGGUCAGGUAGAGAAUACCAAGGCGCUUGAGAGAACUCGGGUGAAGGAACUAGGCAAAAUGGUGCCGUAACUUCGGGAGAAGGCACGCUGAUAUGUAGGUGAAGUCCCUCGCGGAUGGAGCUGAAAUCAGUCGAAGAUACCAGCUGGCUGCAACUGUUUAUUAAAAACACAGCACUGUGCAAACACGAAAGUGGACGUAUACGGUGUGACGCCUGCCCGGUGCCGGAAGGUUAAUUGAUGGGGUUAGCGGUAACGCGAAGCUCUUGAUCGAAGCCCCGGUAAACGGCGGCCGUAACUAUAACGGUCCUAAGGUAGCGAAAUUCCUUGUCGGGUAAGUUCCGACCUGCACGAAUGGCGUAAUGAUGGCCAGGCUGUCUCCACCCGAGACUCAGUGAAAUUGAACUCGCUGUGAAGAUGCAGUGUACCCGCGGCAAGACGGAAAGACCCCGUGAACCUUUACUAUAGCUUGACACUGAACAUUGAGCCUUGAUGUGUAGGAUAGGUGGGAGGCUUUGAAGUGUGGACGCCAGUCUGCAUGGAGCCGACCUUGAAAUACCACCCUUUAAUGUUUGAUGUUCUAACGUUGGCCCCUUACCGGGGUUGCGGACAGUGUCUGGUGGGUAGUUUGACUGGGGCGGUCUCCUCCUAAAGAGUAACGGAGGAGCACGAAGGUUGGCUAAUCCUGGUCGGACAUCAGGAGGUUAGUGCAAUGGCAUAAGCCAGCUUGACUGCGAGCGUGACGGCGCGAGCAGGUGCGAAAGCAGGUCAUAGUGAUCCGGUGGUUCUGAAUGGAAGGGCCAUCGCUCAACGGAUAAAAGGUACUCCGGGGAUAACAGGCUGAUACCGCCCAAGAGUUCAUAUCGACGGCGGUGUUUGGCACCUCGAUGUCGGCUCAUCACAUCCUGGGGCUGAAGUAGGUCCCAAGGGUAUGGCUGUUCGCCAUUUAAAGUGGUACGCGAGCUGGGUUUAGAACGUCGUGAGACAGUUCGGUCCCUAUCUGCCGUGGGCGCUGGAGAACUGAGGGGGGCUGCUCCUAGUACGAGAGGACCGGAGUGGACGCAUCACUGGUGUUCGGGUUGUCAUGCCAAUGGCACUGCCCGGUAGCUAAAUGCGGAAGAGAUAAGUGCUGAAAGCAUCUAAGCACGAAACUUGCCCCGAGAUGAGUUCUCCCUGACUC
This 2531-nucleotide ribosomal RNA is filed under the name Escherichia coli. Its description in RNAcentral is "bacterial LSU rRNA". It matches the Rfam family "Bacterial large subunit ribosomal RNA", at positions 296 to 2821 of the family's 2925-position model. The record is from RNAcentral. Lineage: Bacteria; Pseudomonadati; Pseudomonadota; Gammaproteobacteria; Enterobacterales; Enterobacteriaceae.